GGAAGCACCGGCUAACUCCGUGCCAGCAGCCGCGGUAAUACGGGGGGUGCAAGCGUUGUUCGGAAUUAUUGGGCGUAAAGCGCGUGUAGGCGGUCUGAUUAGUCUGAUGUGAAAGCCCUGGGCUCAACCCAGGAAGUGCAUUGGAUACUGUCAGACUUGAAUACGGGAGAGGGUAGUGGAAUUCCUAGUGUAGGAGUGAAAUCCGUAGAUAUUAGGAGGAACACCGGUGGCGAAGGCGGCUACCUGGACCGAUAUUGRCGCUGAGACGCGAAAGCGUGGGUAGCAAACAGGAUUAGAUACCCUGGUARUCGCACGCCGUAAACGAUGAGAACUAGGUGUCRCGRRUMCAYRKUAGGRR
Molecule: ribosomal RNA, 358 nt
Filed under: uncultured Geobacteraceae bacterium
Lineage: Bacteria; Pseudomonadati; Thermodesulfobacteriota; Desulfuromonadia; Geobacterales; Geobacteraceae
Description: partial 16S ribosomal RNA
Rfam family: Bacterial small subunit ribosomal RNA
Source: RNAcentral